GAUCCCAGGGACGCCCCCACAGGUAGACGAAGAGGGUCCAGAGAAAGGUGGGGAUUCCCUAACCCCUUCUUUCUUGGCACAGACAGGCAGAGAACACCUCUUUUCUCACCCCUGGGCAGCCCCAGGAAGUCAAUCCUUCCACUAUUCCUGCUCCGUGCCUCUCUUCCCUCUGCCCAGAUUCCUGGGAGACUCAAAACCCUGUUCAACUCUCUCUGGGCUAGCUGCUCCCCUCCCCAAGAGGAUUUCUCUCCAGAGCUGGUAUCAUCGCUUAAUGAUGUUCCACCAACAAGGGGAAGAUUCAGCCAUGUCUUCCUAGGAUCCAGCAUCCAAACCUGGACCAAAGUCCUCGGAUCCUCAGCAAUGGGGGUGCAUCUGGUGAUGGUGUUCAUGCUAAAUUUGUGCCAAGAGACACCUGUACUUGUGGGAGAAUUAAUAUUUCACUUCUGUUUAGGUUUCUUUUCUGGGAGCUGCUAUCACUGAAUACAUAAAGAAAUUGAGCCUAUAUGAUUUCAAUCUUCACCUUCUGAUGCUGAUGAAACAGGAUUCUAUGCAGUUUUCCACAGGGAGAAGCAGCAGGCUGAAGUGGCUCUUUAGGGAGACACAUACCUCCACAGGAAGAGCAGUCUAGAUUGUUUUAGCACAUUCCACUUAAGGAUUGCAGUGUGACAGCAGACCCAAUUGAGUCUGGAAGUAGCUCUGGGAUUUGCUGCAUGUUGCUGGCCCUGAGUUUUGGAGAGAAGCCCUGAUAAGACUAAGAGGGAUGCUGAUAACCUGGAGGGACAUUGAUGACAGAAAAUCCUCUCCAGUCAAGUAAUUGCAUCCAUUUCAUCUUCCCAGCCCUCCUCUAGAUGGGAGGUGGAGGUGUGUGUACCAAUCUCUUAAUUCAGAAAUGAGACAAGAGGAGGAAAAAGGAGUUCCGGAGGACAGUGGGGACCCCAGCCAGAGCCUGGGGACUUGGCUGCCUUGGAACCAGAACCUGGCCCCUCAGAGGAGUUGCAGAAUUUCGAUAGAGGAGUGGCAGGAGGUGUACUGGCUGAAGAGGAGGCCCAAGGAACUCCUUUUCAUACAUCAAAACUGAGCUUAUCACCUCUACCCUGAAGUCAUCCUGGACAUCACUGGUCCCAGUUAAUCACUCACUUAUCUUUGCCAUCCUUGACCUGGGAAGAGAACGUUGCCCUCAUUGGUCUGGAAUCAGCAGGUACCUCAUGGCUGGAGGUGUAUUUUCAGGUGGG
Molecule: long non-coding RNA, 1232 nt
Filed under: Homo sapiens (human)
Lineage: Eukaryota; Metazoa; Chordata; Mammalia; Primates; Hominidae
Description: HSALNT0301109
Source: RNAcentral